AAGCUCGUAGUUGAAUUUCGGGAUCAAUGGAUUGGUCAUGCCGAUGGUAUGUACUGGUCAUAUUGGUUCUCACCUUCUAAGGAACCAUAAUGUCAUUUAUUUGAUGUUGUGGGGAAUUAGGACUGUUACCUUGAAAAAAUUAGAGUGUUUAAAGCAGGCUAACGCUUGAAUACAUUAGCAUGGAAUAAUGAAAUAGGACAUCGCAUUCUAUUUUGUUGGUUUCUAGGAUCGAUGUAAUGAUCAAUAGGGAUAGUUGGGGGCAUUAGUAUUCAAUUGUCAGAGGUGAAAUUCUUGGAUUUAUUGAAGACUAACUACUGCGAAAGCAUUUGCCAAGGAUGUUUUCAUUAAUCAAGAACGAAAGUUAGGGGAUCGAAGACGAUCAGAUACCGUCGUAGUCUUAACCAUAAACUAUGCCGACUAGGGAUCGGAUGAUGUUGAUUUUUUGAUGACUCAUUCGGCACCUUACGGGAAACCAAAGUGUUUGGGUUCCGGGGGGAGUAUGGUCGCAAGGCUGAAACUUAAAGGAAUUGACGGAAGGGCACCACCAGGGGUGGAGCCUGCGGCUUAAUUUGACUCAACACGGGGAAA
This 588-nucleotide ribosomal RNA is filed under the name uncultured Glomus. RNAcentral describes it as "SSU rRNA". It matches the Rfam family "Eukaryotic small subunit ribosomal RNA", at positions 624 to 1213 of the family's 1831-position model. Lineage: Eukaryota; Fungi; Glomeromycota; Glomeromycetes; Glomerales; Glomeraceae. The record is from RNAcentral.